This is a long non-coding RNA of Pipra filicauda (Wire-tailed manakin), 1521 nucleotides long. RefSeq lists it as uncharacterized. Lineage: Eukaryota; Metazoa; Chordata; Aves; Passeriformes; Pipridae. The transcript is spliced from 2 exons. The record is from RefSeq and is a predicted model, not a curated record.
CCCGCACGAGCUCGCGGGGCCCGUUAACGGCGCCCUGUCAGGCCGUGUGCGAGCGUCGCCCAGGCCUGCGCCCCCCGGACCCAGUGGGGACCCCGCCGACCACGACACUGCAGCGGACAAUUGGAAUUUGUCAGGGAAUUCACAGAAUUGUGAGGCAUUACUCAAAAGGAUGAGGCAGAAAAGGACAACAGCCAGCCAGCUUUCCUAUGCAAGAAGAGGACCUGCAUGAGGAUGGGUGACUUAUGAAUGUAGGGGUCAUGAGAAGAGUUAUUGAUCUCCAGAACUGAUUUAUAUAAAAUCUUUCAGACUUCAUAUGGGAAACCAGAAAGGCCAGAUUAAAAGAGUCAGCUGGCAGAGAGCCCUGAGCUGAUUAGCAAGGCUGUUAUGCCCAAAGAGCAAGGCAGCAUCACUGCGUGUCUCAUCCAUUACCUCCCAGGACAUGCUGUACUCCUUAUACUGCAAUUCAUAUUGGAGAAUUUCAACGAGGUACCAAGGCACAUUCCACACACUCCACCAUAUCUGACACUUGCUGGCAGUGGCAUUGCUCUGGAGGUUCAAAGGUGGAUCAAGUUUUACUGUAAAUAGAGGAGGCAGGUUUUUUCACAAUAUUUGGAACAUCACAAAAGGAGAUGCGUGAUACCAGGCUGACUAAAGUCUUGGAAGAUAAAGCUUGGUCCGAAGAGUGAUACUAAGACCAGAAGUAGACCAAAUUAGUUUCCAGGUUGGAUCAGAGCAGCUACAGAACUGACAUAAAUUAACGAUAACUCCAGCAGUCUCUGGGGAUAAUCUUGCAAGCAAAGAACCACUCUGGAUGUCACAUUCUGCCCUAAAAACAUACCACACAUAUAGAUACUAGAUACUAGUAUUUCAGAUACUAGAGCAUUUCUCUGAAGUACCAGGCCACGGGACAUUCGAUUAAAUCCGUGACUUUGAUUUCUCAUUACAUAAUUUCUCAGGAAAAAGUAAAACAACAAAACAAACAAUUGUGGCAAUCUAAUUGUAAAUUAUCUAUGGCACAAGAAAACAUGAUGCAAGUGCGAAGUCUUCUUGAAAGAUGCUCCAGAGCCAGCCCUCUCUAAAGUCCUAGAAAAGUCAGAAUGGAGAGACUCAGGGACUGCAUCCUCACUGGAACAGUCCACACAGCACACUCUCCAGGAAUGGACAGUCUGGCUUGUUUUCAUUGUUUCCACUUGCUGUCUUUGAGACACCCUUUGUUAGAGAGCAUAUCAGACCUACCCCAAAGCUGCUGGGCAGAGCCACAGCUCAUGACUGCCCUUGUUCAUACUUACUGUGCUUGCGGGGAUUGUACACUGGAAAGGUAAUGUAUUUGUGAUUACGUCCAAAGAAGUGUCCUUGGAGAGAGACUCUAUAACCAUCUGUUUCCAAGAUCUGGCUGGCUAAAUGAAUUGUGCAGUGGUACUGAUUCUGCAUGCUCUCUGUGGCAGUCAGUUUGCAGCUGGCGUUGUGGCCCUUUGACCAGAGGCUAGAAGAAUAAAAAGGCUGAAAGUUUCUUUGAAGGCA